Elaeis guineensis (African oil palm) is the source of this 2126-nucleotide non-coding RNA. The record is from RefSeq and is a predicted model, not a curated record. NCBI's taxonomy places the organism in Eukaryota, Viridiplantae, Streptophyta, Magnoliopsida, Arecales, Arecaceae.
UUUCGGUAGUUUCCCAGAAACGAACACCAUUUCAGGCGAUCCUCUGCCGCCCCAACCCUAGAACCGCUGGCUAGUAUCCCCAAUCUCGCCGAGACCGUCUUUUCUCUUGGUGAUUCCGAGCUCGAUUGGACUCUCCUCUCCUCUCCUCUUCCCAUGUCGAGAAGGAUUCUUUGCAAGUAUUUUGCACAUGGGGCAUGCCUGAAAGGGGAGUACUGUGAAUUUUCCCAUGAUUGGAAAGCCCAACCCAACAAUGUAUGCACCUUUUAUCAGAAAGGGGUGUGCUCUUAUGGUAGUCGAUGCAGGUAUGACCAUGUUAAAGUUUCUCGUCAUCAGGCAUCUGCCUCAUCAUCGUCAUCAAGUUCUCUUCCAUAUGUGGCAUCAGAUUCUGUUCAAAUCACCCAUCCUCAUAUGGAUGCUCUGAAUGGAGAAUUUAAAGCAGCAUCAAGUGCUCCAAAAGAGUUAACAGCCUCAAGUAAACCUUUCGUUCCUCCUGGUAAACCUGUAUGGACCCAAAAUUUUGAGACUCAUACAUUUCCAGAAAAUGAGGGCGGUCAUGUGCCCAUGUCUGUCAUAUUGGCCGACCUGCCAAUCUGUUCAUUUGCUGCUGCUGGUAGUUGUCCUUAUGGGGAAAAGUGCCCUCACAUCCAUGGGGAUUUGUGUUCCAUUUGUGGAAAGCAUUGCUUACAUCCACACCGUCUGGGUGAAAGAGAGGAACAUAUAAAGCUCUGUCAGAAAAAUAACAAACGUCUUGAAGCAUUGAAGCUUAGUCAGGAGAUAGAAUGCAGUGUAUGCUUGGAUCGAGUGCUCUCUAAGCCCACUGCUGCUGAACGGAAGUUUGGAUUGCUUUCAGAAUGUGACCAUCCAUUUUGUAUUUCAUGCAUCCGGAAUUGGCGGAGUAAUUCUCCUGCUUCUGGCAUGGAUGUCAACAAUGCAGUGAGGGCCUGUCCAAUAUGCAGAAAGAUAUCUUAUUUUGUCAUCCCUAGUGUUAUAUGGUAUUCAACAAAGGAGGAGAAACAAGAGAUCGUUGAUAACUACAAAGCCAAGCUCAAGUCUAUUGAUUGUAAAUACUUUGACUUCGGGAAUGGGACAUGCCCUUUCGGGACUAGUUGUUUCUACAGGCAUGCUUACAGAGAUGGUCGUUUAGAAGAAGUGGUACUACGGCAUUUUGAUGCUGAAGAUGGGAGCACUGUGAUAGCUAAGAAUAUUAGGUUCAUCAUUGCUUUCUUCCAUAUUGUUUCGCAUGAAAAUAGGAAUCUAUUUGUCAUACAGGCUGCUGUUUAUUUCUAAAUUGAUCAUUGUCUCAGGCUUUCGGACUUCUUCAGUGCAUUACAUCUCUAGGAUGUAGGAUCUAUGUGACUCAUGCAUACUUUAAAUGAUAUAUAUAAUGGCCUAGGAAUCAUGUUCAUUUUCACGUUUCAAAAAUUCAUACAGCUGCCCGAUUACCUCCACCUGCAGUCAGGGAGAUGUAUGUAUACUGGUCAAGAAUCUGGUCUAAAGGAUGGACCGCAAAUCGGUCAGGUCGCUUUGUGGCUGCUUAGAUGUUCGAGACAUUAUCCUUGUGAGACGAAAUAAUGCUUUAACUGCGGCGACCCUCUGGAGUCGUGGUUUACUGGGAAGGUCUCCGUUGUAUUUUCCUCGGUCUGAGAUCGUCCCUUCGCGUAUCGGCCUUGCAACUCAGUUAUGACCCAACUUAGAAAGCUCGUCCAUGCGUAUAAAUUUCCACGUGUUUUUGCCUCGUCGUAUUUGAUCUACCAAACUCUUUCUUUCUUCUCUGCUCAAGGCGCUUCUCCGUUUCUCUAGUGUUGUCUAGAUGCAUGGUCGCUUUGAAGCAGUCCUGGUGACAUGCUUGGGCAGUACGGAAAGUCUCGGAAAAAGAUGGUGCGCGAUAGCUGUGUUUUGCUGUUCCCCGGCGGAAGUGGUGUGCGUUGGCUGUGCAUUGCCUCCGGGACGUAUUGGAUGUUUUAAUAAAUUAUGCAAGAAAGAACUUUGUCGUAUUAGAUUGUUCCACUCUUUAUGAUGCGCCAUCAUCUGAGUCUACUUUCUAGGUUCGAAUCAUGUAUCCGCAUUCUUUGUCAUUAGUUGCUUUCUUUUGGGGAAAAGAAAAAGGCUAAAAGCAAUGAUUACCA